RNAcentral lists this non-coding RNA (230 nucleotides) under Bacillus cereus. RNAcentral describes it as "T-box sequence". It matches the Rfam family "T-box leader". Rfam says of the family: Uncharged tRNA acts as the effector for transcription antitermination of genes in the T-box leader family. T-boxes are found upstream of many aminoacyl-tRNA synthetase genes and some amino acid biosynthetic genes usually in Gram-positive bacteria. Lineage: Bacteria; Bacillati; Bacillota; Bacilli; Caryophanales; Bacillaceae. The record is from RNAcentral.
AUAUCGGCUUUGAAGGAAUACUAGUAGCGACUUAUAUCCCUGUCUCAGAGAACUGAUGGUUGGUGUAAAUCAGUACAUAUACAAGCGUGAAUUACAAUUCUGGAGCUUCUUUCCCGUAGUGCACAUAGUGCAUGAAGAGGAAGACGGAUCUUUCCGUUAUCUUAAAGUGAGUGGUAAACAAUUUUUAUGUUUACAAUUAGGGUGGUACCGCGAUUUUUAUCGUCCCUAUC